CGCCCCGAGGCCCGGCGUCUGCCCGCCCGCACGCCUGCCGCCGGGGGAGGGGCCGCGCGCCGGGACCCAAGACUGCAGCGCCCGGCGCCGGGUUGCUGUGGCGCCGCGGCUACCGCCCGCACCCGGUGGCCGCGAGCCUGGGUCAGAGAGGCUCGGCGUGCGGAGCGGGGAUCGGGGAUGCUCCAGUAAAGGCGCGACCUGGGGCAGUGGGAAGGGUGGUCUUCCUCGCAGAGUUGCGCCCGAGGACGGAAAGUUUUUGCAUGCAGCGCAUCCUUCCCUCGCGGGUCCCUGUCGCCCACGGUGAAGCGCCCCCGCGGGGAUCCCCGCCACUUAGUGGGGAGGGGCCGAGCAGCCCCCUCCCGAGACGGCCACCCAAGCCAGGGAGGGAACCCCGGUGACCUGUUCUCCCAGCCACCACUCCCUCCACCCUUUCUUCUCUCUCACGGUGGACCUUGGGCCGUGGAUGAUGAUGCGGAUGCCUUGGGAGCUGAGACCAGUGGUUCUAAGAACAGAGAGCUGUAAUAACUGGAGGCUGUUGUGUGAGCCCUGUCUUGUGCACCAGCUCAAUUCGGUGACGAUGGCAUCCUGGGUCCCAACAGACGGGGUGCCUGAACAGCGAGUGGCUGCCCGAGGCUGGACCAUGCUGCCCCAAAGGGGCUUCAUUUGCAGUGUGGGCUCACUUCACUCAAGGAAAGGCAGCAGAAAUGCCUUGAGUUGAAACCCCUCUCCAGUGUCAGUUAAGCCAGUGGUCCCCAAACUUCAGGCUGUGUCUGAGACACCCGGAGGGCUUGUUACAACAGAGUUUUACAACGACCCACUCCCAGAGGUUCUGCUUCAGAAGAUAUGGGGCAGGGAUGGAGAAUUUACAUUUCUAGCAAUUUUCUAGGUGAUAGCGAUGCUGCUGGUUGGAGAUCACACUUUGAGAACCACGAGUCUACUCCAGAGCCCACUGCAAACUUAAGAAGCUUUUCCUCUCCAGUUCUCCUUUCUGUGAAGGUGUGCCCUCAGGAACUUCAGAUGUGGGGAGAAGAGUGAAUGGAUGCCAACAGAUGGAAACAGCCUGAGUGUCCAUCACCAGAUGAAUGCAUAAGCAGAAUGUGAUAUAUACAUACAGCGGAAUAUCAUUCAGCUGUAAAAGGGAAUGAAGUACUGAGUCCUGCUACAACAGGGAUGACCUUGCAAACUUGCAGGCAGGCACAUAAGGGCACCUAUUGCAUAAUUCCAUUUUUAUGGAAGGUCCAGAAUAAGCAAAUUCUUAGAGGUAGGAAGUAAACUGGUGACUGCCCGGAGCUGGGGGUAGGAGGGAAUGGGGAGUGACUGUUGAUUGGGUUUCCAUUUGGGAUGAUGGAAAAGUUCUGGAACUAGAUGGUGAUGAUGGUUGCACAGCAUUGUGACUGUCCUUAGUACCACGGAACUGCACAAUUUAAAAAUGGUUAAGACGGUGCCUUUUACGCCAUGUGCAUUUCACCACAAUAAACAUGAAAAGAGUGAAUUGAGAGUUCUAACUCAAAUUGUGGGGCCAACUGAAAGAUUUAUGGGAUAAAGGUAGAAAUACAAUGCCCUAAAUUAAUGGUUCUCAGCCCUAUUGCAUCAAGAAUCACCGGAGGGGGAAUAUCUUAUUCUCUUGUCCUAGCUGUACCGAAGAGCAAUUACAUCAAAAUUUCUGGAGGCGAAGCCUAGGCACCAGAAACUUAAACUUCACCCCUAGGUGAUUCUAAUGUACCAGCAGAGUUGAGAACACUAGCCUGAAAUCUCAAAGACCAAGUAGGUUGAUGACCUAAUUGCAAAAUGACUUGAUCUUCAUCACAGAAAGCGCACCUUCGUCUUUUCCCCAACUGCCUAGGAAGUGGCGUGUAAGUACAAUGAGACUAGCUGUGUGACCUUGGGCAAACCACCUAACCUCUCUGAGCAUCUGUUUUCUCCUAUGGAAAGAACACAUUUCAUAGGGUUUUGGGGAGGUUUACAGGAAAAAGGCCAGUUUCCCAGUUAUAAAAGUGUCAGAUGCUGUUUGGUCAACCUGCAUUUCUUUGCAUCUCAUUCUAGGCCAGAAGGGAGACUCAGUGGCUUAUUUGUGGGAAAACCUAUACUGUAGUAUCUUGUACUACAGUUCAAUUUUCUUCCCCCACCUGAGGGGAAGGACGCUCUUAGGCUGGGAAUUAGUGAUAAUGACUUUUCAAGUCUAUACUGUUGAAGUGAAGGAGAUGGUGAGCUUGGUAAAAAUCCCUUCUCUACCCAUGCUGACUUUCAUGAGCCAAGCUCUAUAAUGAUAUAAAUUACUCUAAGAUAAAAAGGGGUAAAAGUCAUACACGAAUUCCCAACAAUAAAUGAAAUCAUUCAGAUUCUUCAUAUUUCUAUUCAGUCCUUUUUGGUAGGUAAUAUAGAUAAUAUACUUUUAUUCGACUACAAUUAAGGCGUAAUUUUAUAUUCUGUUUUUCACUCAGUAUUUUAUCUUCCACAUUUUGUUGUGCUUCUAUAGCUGUCUUCAUUACUGACAUUCUAAUAGCUACAGAGUGUUCAAUUGAGUAGCCUUACUGUAAUUUAAUAUCUGUCUAUUGUUAAUUCUCUGAUAGGUUCCAAAUUUUCAAUAUUAGAAAUUGUGCUCAAUGGUGUAGUUCCCGUCAUGGCUCAGUGGAAACGAAUCUGACUAAUAUCCAUGAGGACACAGGUUGGAUCCCUGGCCUCAUUCAGUGGGUUAAGGAUCUGGCAUUGACAUGAGCUGUGAUGUAGGUUGCAGACGUGGCUUGGAUCUGGCAUUGCUGUGACUGUGGCGUAGGCCGGCAGCUACAGCUCCAAUCCGGCCCCUAGCCUGGGAAUCUCCAUAUGCCUCGGGUGUGCUCCCCCACCAAAAAAGGAGAAAAAAAAAGAAAUUGUGCUCAAUGAAAAUAUUUCUGCAUGAAACUUUUCACAUCCUUUGGCUUGUUUACUUUAAAUUCCCAUAAAUAAACAGGAUCAAGAGGCCUGAACGUUUUAAGACUCUUGAAUGCACCAUCAAAUUGCUUUGUUAAAGGAUUCUAUCCAUUUACACUGCUACCGUGGGGUGUGGGUGUAUCAUUUUCAACAAAUUGCCAGCACUGUAUUUCAUAAUUUGAAAGAGAUUUACAAAUUGUAGAGCUAUAAUCGAAUUUGAUGUAAGCUAAUAAAUUCUUGUGUCUGA
Molecule: non-coding RNA, 3154 nt
Organism: Sus scrofa (pig)
Lineage: Eukaryota; Metazoa; Chordata; Mammalia; Artiodactyla; Suidae
Source: RefSeq, a predicted model, not a curated record